GUUGGUGAUGCGUACGUUGGCGCUGGGGGGUGGUACUCAGGCUCAGGCUUUGGUUUGGGCUCAGGCUUAGGCUUCGGUGGCACAGGUUUCUUGUGGAAGUGGUCAAAGAACUUGUGAUAGUCAUGGUCCUUGUGGAAGUGAUCAAGGAAGUGCUUCUUGUCAAACGAUAUUUCUUUCACAACCGGAGGGUGGUAGAUCGGAGUCGGAGACCCGUAUGUGGGUGUCGGGGGGUGGUACUCAGGCUUAGGCUGCGGCUUUGGCUUUGGUGGCACGGGCUUCUUGUGGAAGUGGUCAAAGAUGUGGUGGUAGUCAUGGUGUUUGUGGAAGUCAUCGUGCAAGGGAUUCUUGUCGAACAAGUGCCUGGCAGGAGGGUGGUAGAUUGGUGUAGGUGACCCAUAUGUUGGCGUUGGUGGGUGGUACUCAGGCUCAGGUUGAGGUUUGGGCUCUGGCUUGGGCUUGGGUGGCACAGGCUUCUUGUGGAAGUGGUAAAAAAAGUGGUGGUAGUCAUGGCCUUUAUGAAAGUGAUCAGGCUCAGGCUGCGGCUUAGGCUGCGGCUUGGGCUCCGGCUUUGGCUUUGGUGGCACGGGCUUCUUGUGGAAGUGGUCGAAGAAGUGGUGGUAGUCGUGGUCCUUAUGAAAAUGGUCGAGCAAG
Molecule: long non-coding RNA, 651 nt
Filed under: Sorghum bicolor (sorghum)
Lineage: Eukaryota; Viridiplantae; Streptophyta; Magnoliopsida; Poales; Poaceae
Description: long non-coding RNA (SBIC_LNC001159)
Source: RNAcentral